GACGAACGCUGGCGGCGUGCCUAAUACAUGCAAGUCGAACGCUUCUUUCCUCCCGAGUGCUUGCACUCAAUUGGAAAGCGGAGUGGCGGACGGGUGAGUAACACGUGGGUAACCUACCCAUCAGAGGGGGAUAACACUUGGAAACAGGUGCUAAUACCGCAUAACAGUUUAUGCCGCAUGGCAUAAGAGUGAAAGGCGCUUUCGGGUGUCGCUGAUGGAUGGACCCGCGGUGCAUUAGCUAGUUGGUGAGGUAACGGCUCACCAAGGCCACGAUGCAUAGCCGACCUGAGAGGGUGAUCGGCCACACGGGGACUGAGACACGGCCCAGACUCCUACGGGAGGCAGCAGUAGGGAAUCUUCGGCAAUGGACGAAAGUCUGACCGAGCAACGCCGCGUGAGUGAAGAAGGUUUUCGGAUCGUAAAACUCUGUUGUUAGAGAAGAACAAGGACGUUAGUAACUGAACGUCCCCUGACGGUAUCUAACCAGAAAGCCACGGCUAACUACGUG
Molecule: ribosomal RNA, 508 nt
Filed under: uncultured bacterium
Lineage: Bacteria
Description: partial 16S ribosomal RNA
Rfam family: Bacterial small subunit ribosomal RNA
Source: RNAcentral